CAGUAGCCGCGGUAAAACGUAGGUGGCAAGCGUUGUCCGGAUUUAUUGGGCGUAAAGCGAGCGCAGGCGGUUUCUUAAGUCUGAUGUGAAAGCCCCCGGCUCAACCGGGGAGGGUCAUUGGAAACUGGGAGACUUGAGUGCAGAAGAGGAGAGUGGAAUUCCAUGUGUAGCGGUGAAAUGCGUAGAUAUAUGGAGGAACACCAGUGGCGAAGGCGGCUCUCUGGUCUGUAACUGACGCUGAGGCUCGAAAGCGUGGGGAGCGAACAGGAUUAGAUACCCCUGUAGUCCCUGUCUCUUAUAC
This 301-nucleotide ribosomal RNA is filed under the name uncultured bacterium. Its description in RNAcentral is "partial 16S ribosomal RNA". It matches the Rfam family "Bacterial small subunit ribosomal RNA", at positions 509 to 807 of the family's 1533-position model. The record is from RNAcentral.